CAGGACCACCAGCAAUGUAUGUAGUCGGCUUGUUCCCCGCAUUCUUUCCAACAUAAUGGUCUGGAAUGCGACGGCAGUUUGUCCUGGUUUAAACCAUGACUGAUUUAGGAAGAAGAAGUAAUUGCUAUUAUUUUACCUCGGAUUACGGCCUUCAUUGAGUCCCAAACAAUAUGCUGAGAAACUCCGCAUUUUGCAUUAAAAUGAAAAUAAUCCUUAAUUUCUUUUUCUAUAUUGUCUGAUAUAGAUUGUAAAAAUAAAAUU
Molecule: long non-coding RNA, 261 nt
Organism: Gekko japonicus
Lineage: Eukaryota; Metazoa; Chordata; Lepidosauria; Squamata; Gekkonidae
Exons: 3
Source: RefSeq, a predicted model, not a curated record